UGGUAAUCACCUGGCUUCUGCUCUUAAUUGUUGUUUAUUUAUCUCCCAAACCAGAAAGGAAGCCCCUUCAGGCCAAGGAUCCUGUCUGCAGCACCUGGAAAAGUGCCUGGAACAUAGUAGGUACUGAAAACAGCUGCAUGAGCAACAAAUAACAUGACCAAGAGAGUCACAAGGAAAUGCAGGAGCCGCAGAAGCCACUCACACAAUGACUGGCCUCCCAGCGACUAAGGAAGCCCCUCUGCAUUUCAAGAAGCCUGAAUGGAGCAGCCUGGAGUGCUCCUAAACUCACUGGUUACACUUCUCUGAAUUUUUUUGGUUGCAUAAAUUUGGGAAGCCACCUAGGAGAUAAGAGGAUUGACCUGUUGCAACAGUGGAAAAGAAUGUGUAUUAUCACUGCUGCCCUUUAGAUGUGGUCCAAAGGUGGUUGUUGUUGCUGUUCGGUCACUAAGUCAUGUCCGACUCUUUGUUACCCCAUGGACUGCACCAUACCAGGCUACCCUGUCCUUCACUGUCUCCCAGAGAUUGCUCAAAUUCAUGUCCAUUGAGUCUGUGAUGCCAUCUCAUUCUCUGCCGUCCUCUUCUCCUCUGUCCUUCAAUCUUUCCCAGCUUCAGGAUCUUUUCCAAUGAGUAGGCUCUUCGCAUCAGGUGGCAAAGUAUUGGAACUUCAGCAUCAGUCCUUCCAAUGAAUAUUCAGGGUUGAUUUCCUUUAGGAUUGACUGGUUUGAUCUCCUUGCUGUCCAACAGACUCUCAAGAGUCUUCUCCAGCACCACUGUUGCUGCUGCUGCUGCUGCUGUCACUUCAGUCUUGUCCAACUCUGUGCGACCCCAUUGACGGCAGCCCACCAGGCUCUCCCGUCCCUGGGAUUCUCCAGGCAAGAACACUGGAGCGGGUUGCCAUUUCCUUCUCCAAUCCAUGAAAGUGAAAAGUGAAAGUGAAGUCGCUCAGUUGUGUCCGACUCUUAGCGACCUCAUGGACUGCAGCCUACCAGGCUCCUCCAUCCAUGGGAUUUUCCAGGCAAGAGUACUGGAGUGGGUUGCCAUUGCCUUCUCCGAGCACCACCAUUAGAAAGCAUCAAUUCUUUGGUGCUCAGCCUUCUUUAUGGUCUAACUCUCACAUCUGUACAUGACUACUGGAAAAACCAUAGCUUUGAGUAUAUGGACCAUUGUCGGUUUCGCUGUUUUAAAGGUGAAGUUUCAGGUUCAACGAGGUGUCCCCUCAGCUCCUCUGAUGGGUGCCACUCUGGGCACCCUUCUGCCAAGGUGACUUGGAGUGAGACUGCAAGCCCUCGAAGGCGGGGAUCCAAUCAGAGGAGGGGGCCAUUGCUGAGGAGCCUGAGCUUGCUUGCUCUGAGCCAGUCCCUGGGAGGUCAGCCGUCAACAGUCACACACAUCUGCUCUUCUGAAUUAUUCAAGUCUUGGAAUAAUAAUUACAAAAGGGAGGCAACUCAUAAAACUGGGAUCAAAAAAAAAAGGAAAAGCUGAGCCAGAUCUGUACUGGAUUAUCAAGGCAUCUGAUCAGAAAAGAAAUCAGAGGCUCAUCAGAAAUCAGAUUUGGGCUGAAAGAAAACAACUCAUGGUCUUGUGAGGG
This is a long non-coding RNA of Bos taurus (domestic cattle), 1588 nucleotides long. NCBI's taxonomy places the organism in Eukaryota, Metazoa, Chordata, Mammalia, Artiodactyla, Bovidae. The record is from Ensembl.